GGGAGCUGAUCCUUUAGCACUAAAAUGGUCGUUUCUAUCCAAACUGUCAAUAGAGGUCAUCUGUUAAGAGAAACCCAAAGCUGAAAGAGAUGGAGCCACCUUUCUUAGUGUUCCAGCAAGUGACAAAGGUCCCACACAGCGAAAGUGUGCCAACACAGCUGAUGGGAAACGAAGACUCAAGUCAGACAACCAGGUUCCCUUGACCAAAUCCAACUAUCACAUAGGGUGAUUUUUCCUCUCUGAAUUAACCAUUCUUUGAAUAAACCAAUAACGACAACUGGCU
Molecule: long non-coding RNA, 283 nt
Filed under: Fukomys damarensis (Damara mole-rat)
Lineage: Eukaryota; Metazoa; Chordata; Mammalia; Rodentia; Bathyergidae
Description: lncRNA (ENSFDAG00000025884.1)
Source: RNAcentral